UGGGGAAUCUUGCACAAUGGUGGAAACCCUGAUGCAGCGACGCCGCGUGAGCGAUGAAGGUUUUCGAAUCGUAAAGCUCUGUCCUAUGGGAAGAUAAUGACGGUACCAUGGGAGGAAGCCCCGGCUAACUACGUUCCAGCAGCCGCGGUAAUACGUAGGGGGCGAGCGUUGUCCGGAAUUAAUGGGCGUAAAGGGUUCGCAGGCGGCAUGGCAAGUCCGAUGUAAAAGGCGAAGGCUCAACCUUCGUAAGCAUCGGAAACUGUCAAGCUUGAGUGAAGGAGAGGAAAGUGGAAUUCCUAGUGUAGCGGUGGAAUGCGUAGAUAUUAGGAGGAAUACCGGUGGCGAAGGCGACUUACUGGACUUCAACUGACGCUGAGGAACGAAAGCGUGGGUAGCAAACAGG
Molecule: ribosomal RNA, 403 nt
Filed under: Fusobacteriota bacterium
Lineage: Bacteria; Fusobacteriati; Fusobacteriota
Description: Fusobacteria bacterium partial 16S ribosomal RNA
Rfam family: Bacterial small subunit ribosomal RNA
Source: RNAcentral